RNAcentral lists this transfer RNA (77 nucleotides) under Salinivibrio sp. PR919. Its description in RNAcentral is "tRNA-Met". It matches the Rfam family "tRNA". From Rfam's summary of the family: Transfer RNA (tRNA) molecules are approximately 80 nucleotides in length. Their secondary structure includes four short double-helical elements and three loops (D, anti-codon, and T loops). Lineage: Bacteria; Pseudomonadati; Pseudomonadota; Gammaproteobacteria; Vibrionales; Vibrionaceae. The record is from RNAcentral.
CGCGGGAUGGAGCAGUCUGGUAGCUCGUCGGGCUCAUAACCCGAAGGUCGUYGGUUCAAAUCCRGCUCCCGCAACCA